GGCUGGAGAAGCCAGUGAGCUGCUCGUCAGGGAGGCCCAAAUCAUGUGUGAGCCAUACCAGGUGGAGGAGCCUCAAAGUAACUCCAGGCUGGCAUUAGAAGCCAUUGCUGUUUAGUGUUGCUUGUUCAGUUCUGGUCUGGAGUUUCUUCAUGUUGGUAAUACUAGUUUGCAGAUGAUUACUUUUGGCUGCUAUGGCUGGUUCUACACCUGCAGAAUCAAGAUGACCAAUGGAAAAACUAAAACUUCCAAGGUUCGGAAGUUCGGGUUGGUUCAAUAUGCAUUGGGCAAGAAACCCAGUGGAGACCGUGGUGCCAUGAAAGCAAACAAAAGGACGGUCCAGAGAAGACAACAGGAUCCUGCCUUGGGCUCCCUGGGAGCGGCCAAGCAACUUCAGCCUCCUGUGAAAAUUGAGAGGGAAGACCCUUUCUCAGUACUGCUUUUCAUGUCAUGCUGUGUGAAAAGUCUAAUAAAAUGUUAGAAUGCCUGACUGUUGGUUAACUGCAUCUGCUGCUAAUAUGUACUGAACUAAUCAAGUUUUUAUCUGCGCUUUCCCAGUGUGUAAAAAGAUGCAUCCUUGUGAGUGUUUAAAUAUUUCUUGUUUGCUAAAGUACUGUUGUGCUACCACACAGGAUGAUUCAGAGAACACUACAUGCUCCUGCUUCAGGGGCAAGCAGCUUUAGCCUCCUUUGGAAAUUGCCAAAUGCUCCUGCCAAAUUAGCGAUUUGACUAACGGGUAAGACUUUUUUUUCCCAGUAAUGGUUAUGUAAUGCUUGUCAUGCAGGCUGUGUGACGGGUCUAGAAAAAUGUUUUAAAUGGUAUGAUUGCAUAAUGUACUUGCGGUGCUUCUUGUCUUUGGUUGUAUUUCCUGAACUAUUCGGUUUUAACGAUUUUCCAUUCGCCAAUGUUUUAGGUGAAAGAUUGUGUUAGUGUUUAAGACUGUUCUGAAUAAGUUGCAUGAAGUAGUCUUGUUAUUUCUUGCAAAA
Gasterosteus aculeatus aculeatus (three-spined stickleback) is the source of this 983-nucleotide long non-coding RNA. Lineage: Eukaryota; Metazoa; Chordata; Actinopteri; Perciformes; Gasterosteidae. The record is from Ensembl.